RNAcentral lists this ribosomal RNA (429 nucleotides) under Bacillota bacterium. RNAcentral describes it as "Firmicutes bacterium partial 16S ribosomal RNA". It matches the Rfam family "Bacterial small subunit ribosomal RNA", at positions 355 to 776 of the family's 1533-position model. Lineage: Bacteria; Bacillati; Bacillota. The record is from RNAcentral.
UAGGGAAUCUUCCACAAUGGACGCAAGUCUGAUGGAGCAACGCCGCGUGAGUGAAGAAGGUUUUCGGAUCGUAAAGCUCUGUUGUUGGUGAAGAAGGAUAGAGGUAGUAACUGGCCUUUAUUUGACGGUAAUCAACCAGAAAGUCACGGCUAACUACGUGCCAGCAGCCGCGGUAAUACGUAGGUGGCAAGCGUUGUCCGGAUUUAUUGGGCGUAAAGCGAGCGGAGGCUGAAGAAUAAGUCUGAUGUGAAAGCCCUCGGCUUAACCGAGGAACUGCAGCGGAAACUGUUUUUCUUGAGUGCAGAAGAGGAGAGGGGAAUUCCAUGUGUAGCGGUGGAAUGAGUAGAUAUAUGGAAGAACACGAGUGGCGAAGGAGACUCUCUGGUCUGCAACUGACGCUGAGGCUCGAAAGCAUGGGUAGCGAACAGG